GUGCCGGCCCACUGAAGCGGUGGGGACGCGCCCAGCGGAGCGAAUCAGAUUAGCUGGCUGGUGUUUGGUUGUUCUGGAGUGAUCUUCUGACUGGAAAAGAACUAUGUCAUGGAUCAAGGAAGGAGAACUGUCACUUUGGGAGCGGUUCUGUGCCAACAUCAUAAAGGCAGGCCCAAUGCCAAAACACAUUGCAUUCAUAAUGGAUGGGAACCGUCGCUAUGCCAAGAAGUGCCAGGUGGAGCGGCAGGAAGGCCACUCACAGGGCUUCAACAAGCUAGCUGAGCUCCUUGCCUUCUCCCCUCUCAGACUCUGCGGUGGUGUUUGAACCUGGGCAUCCUAGAGGUGACGGUCUACGCAUUCAGCAUUGAGAACUUCAAACGCUCCAAGAGUGAGGUAGACGGGCUUAUGGAUCUGGCCCGGCAGAAGUUCAGCCGCUUGAUGGAAGAACAGUAAGAUGCUAUCAGAGGGGAGAGCGUGUUCUUCCACCACCCCCAGCCUUAUCCUAACCCUUGAAAUUCUGUUAUCUGAGGCUUACUUAAGGGACUUCCAACUCUUUUUAAUGUUAGUUAGAGAUCUUGGGUGGCAAAUAUCAGAAAUACAAGAUAGUCUUUCAUUCUUUAUUUCUAACUUUUUUUUUAAAUAAAAAAGGGGGCAUUUAUUU
This 661-nucleotide small RNA is filed under the name Pongo abelii (Sumatran orangutan). RNAcentral describes it as "retained intron". The record is from RNAcentral. Lineage: Eukaryota; Metazoa; Chordata; Mammalia; Primates; Hominidae.